Long non-coding RNA from Cyprinodon tularosa, 932 nucleotides. RefSeq lists it as uncharacterized. The transcript is spliced from 3 exons. Lineage: Eukaryota; Metazoa; Chordata; Actinopteri; Cyprinodontiformes; Cyprinodontidae. The record is from RefSeq and is a predicted model, not a curated record.
UUACAUUCUAAACAAACUUUACUAUGAAAAUGCAGGGUUUUGAGACGUACGCACAACGCAUGCGCACUGUGGCUACAACAGGACCGACUUUCUGUGUCCAGACGUCUGAGGAUCACAGAGCAACAUGUAGCACUUAAGUCAUUUCACAGAUCAAAGAGGAAUUCAGGAGAACAACAACCAUUCCAGUGGAUCAAACCAGGCAAAAACUUGACAAAUACACACGAAAGCUGAUGAAAGCCAGGGGAGGAGUUUUGGGGCCCAAGACGAGUUUGCUCCUGGACCGACUGAGUCAGUUUACGAUGGCUAAAGCGAUGGCAGUGGUCAGAGGCCACUCUUUAAUAAACAACUGAAAAGAGAAAGAAGUUUGGUUAUUGGAGUGUCGUUGUCUGGCUGUCUAGCCGGCUGAAAAGUUGGGAAAACUCAGGGCGAGGACAGCACAGUGAUGUCAGUAACUCUGUUUUCAAAAUCUGACAGCUAUGAGAUUGUCCCAGGAUGCAAGAGUACAGCGAAAGCUUGUCCACUGCUUAUGGGACUGAUUUAUGCCCUGAACUGUGCAUACCCUCCUAUUUUGUGCUACACUUUUAAAGUCCUCUAAGAACUCUUGCUGGAGAUGGAUCAAUUUAAACUCUACACAAAAGAAAACACCCUGAAGUGAAAGUUACUGUCAUGAUUCUGUCUUCCUAGAGGAGGAAAAUAUUUCUGUAAUGAAUGUUUUAACUCUGACAGUGUUGUAAACUUUUCACUACAUAUUUAAAAAACACUGUUCCAGUUUGAAUGUAAAAUUUAUCACUGCCCUAUAAAGAAAUUUAGAAAUUGAAUUCACACUACUAGUGGAGUUACUUAUUUGUGAAGCCGUUUCUUUAAUGCAUAGAGUAUUGCUUCAUUUUAUUUGUAAACAUUUAUCCAGAGACAACUGGCAUCAAAUAUAUUGU